This is an RNA transcript of Passer montanus (Eurasian tree sparrow), 2986 nucleotides long. It is a transcript of the gene named MYCBP associated protein, with no coding region annotated. The record is from RefSeq and is a predicted model, not a curated record. The transcript is spliced from 17 exons. Lineage: Eukaryota; Metazoa; Chordata; Aves; Passeriformes; Passeridae.
ACUGCACGGUAGGCCCCUGUAGCGCGGUGUUCCGGGUGUCCUGAGGCCCGGUGUUCCUAGUCGCCCAGAGUUCCGUGUGCCCAAUAUCCCGAAGUCUCCCGAUGUCCUCCAUGUCCCGGUAUCCCGGGUUUGUCCCCGCAGCAAUUCGGCGCAUGCGCAUGGCGCGCCCCGCCCGGGGGAGCGGUGCCGCGGAGCGCCGGCAGGGGGCGCUGCGCUGCGGGCCCGCGCGGCCUGUGGGGCCUGUCGGGCCUGUGGGGUCUGUCGUGGCCCUGUCGCUCUGUGUCGUUCCCUGUCGCUUUCUGUCGCGACCUGCGGUGGGGCCGGUGGCACGGACAUGGCGGCGCGGCGGGGGAGUCGGUCUCGGAACCGGACUCUUCCUGGCAGGAAGGAAAAGUCUUUUGAACGACUCUCUUUAACAAUUGAAGAGCCUGAGCCUGAGCCUGAGCCUGUUCCAUAUGUUCUGCAACAAGAGGACUUCCAGGCACUUGAAAUUAAAGUGGAGGACCUGGAGAAACUUCAUGCUCCACGCCUUGCCUAUGGUGCUGGGAGGAUUCCAGUUCAGAGGAGUUACCUCGUCCGAAAAUACCGACCCAAGGAGGUGGCACACCUCGUGGCACAUCCUGUGCCCCCCAAGGCACCCAGAGGACCCCUGACUUUUCCUGGUAGGCUUCAACUUCACCUCUUACCUCUGGGUUUUGGUUUUGCUAAGCCAGACUUUAGUGACCUGGCUCUGGUUGGGUAUUUUUAUAUGUGUGUUGUAGUACCAAGACAGUUUGAGGAUGGCUGUGAAGAGAUCCUCCCUCAUCACAUUUUGGGAAGUCUCCAGGAGUUAAAGAUGGAAGCCUUGGCCAAAAGGAACACUCAGCUAGCAGAUGCUAUUAAGGUUCCUCAUCCAGAUGUUACUGCAGCAGCUUUAGAAGAGGAACAUGGGGGAGAGAAGAAAGAAACGUCACAUCAGGCCCAACUAGCAGAGCACAAAGCUUUCCAGAACUGGAACCAUCAUAUGGCAAUGAGGAAAAAGCAGGAGAAACACCUAGGAGAAAUUCUUCACAAGCCAGAGAAUGAACUGCUGAUGAACAUGUCAGACAAUUACAGGCAAAUCCAGGAAGAACGUGACCUCAUUGACCGGAGUCUCCCUGCCCUAUUUCCUGGAAAGGGAUACCGAGUGGGAAGCGAGUUCUGGAGCCUUCCUGAGCAAAUUGGGGAUGAUCUCACCGGGCUGACUCUGACCCUGACCCAGACAGAACGUGGGCACCCAGAGCCACUCACUCAUGUGGGGAAACCCCGGACCAUCCAGAGGGAAACAGGUGUGAAGCCUCCAAAGAAGAUUCCUUGCCACCUAAACUGGGAUAAGAGUCUUUUCCUGAAACAUCGACGGCAGGAGCUAAAAUCUCUCCUGGAGGAGCUGGGCUUUUAUAAGCCAGAUCUGGAAGGACUGGAGGUGAUUGGGAAAGGGCAGCCUUUCACAUCUGUCUCAGCUGAGGCUUUUCUGCAUACUGCCAUUUCUGAAGAGAUUGAGAUCCUGAGUGACCCCUUAGGUGACUCCUUCACUGUGGAUCCAGAAGCUGAAAAGGUCCCAUCUUUAGUUUUCUGUGGCCAGCCUGCUCGUUGGAUCAAGGGCAUCACUUCUUGCAGGGAAAUUGGUAUUGCUGCCCGGCUCACCUUUGAGACUCUGGCUAGUGAGAAGGCUGAAAGCUUCCUGACAGUGACCAAUGAUGGCAUAGCUUCCAUUUGGUACAACUGGAUGAGGCUUCCCCAGCAGAUCCCCUCCAGAGAAACCAGGGGGAGGAGAGUGCCCUGCUUUUACUUUGAUACCAGACCAGGUGUAAUUUUGCCUGGAGAAACUCGGACGUUUUCUUUUAUUUUCAAGUCAGAGAGAGCAGGCAUUUUCAGUGAGCCCUGGGAAUUUAGGACACAUCCUCUGUUAUUAGGAGGAGCUCUGCUUCAGGUGACCCUUUGGGGAAUUGCUGUGUAUGAGGAUAAAUUGGCUGACUUCAGAGAGAAAUUGGAGAAUGAGCUGGCUGCUCGAGAAGGAGCUUCUAUAGUGAAAGAAAGCCUGAAUGAACUUCUUAAACAAGUUCGGACGCCCGAACGCACCCCAUCUCCUGUGGAUUCCUGUGUCACAGAGGAAGAGCUGUUCCACAGGAAAAAUCCCGAGUUGCAUUAUCAACAUCAAGUGAUAAAGCAGCUGCAUAAACUGUGGAGACAGCACCUGACUGUCUUGGAGGAGGAAGUGCCCUUGGACCAGAGGAGCACUGCAGAGGACGUGGAGUACCAGGAGAGCAUCUUGGAGCCUCCCUCUGUCCAGAGCACUGAGGAGGAAGAAGCAGGUUCUUCAGGAUGGAACCUUUCCAUUGAGGACUUUAAACAGGCUAUAAUGUCAAUCUCCGGGAAGGAGCAGCGGGAAGAAGCACUGGCCCAGCUCAAUAAGGCAGCUCUGGAGCUGUGUGUUGAACAGAGGCCAACUCAGUCAGACCUUCUGUAUCCACUCUGCCUCCAGCUGUGGCGUGGAGCAAUUGAUGGCUUGGUGUGUCACUCUCUGAGGCUCAGAUCUGUGCUUGGUUUGAUUAAGAAGGACAUCUAUGUAGAAGCUGCUCCAGUGGAAACAGGAUCAUUCAGGCAGCAGGAAGCUGAAAGCUUCCAUUUCUGUGUACGACAUGAAAGGGGGAGCAGACUCCAUCAAAGGAAGAGGUGAGAAGCAGAAGGUGAAAGAGGAAGCUGCAACUCCAGUUGAGGCAGAACCUGUUCAGGAGCAAGUGGACUCUGUUUUACUUGAAAAAUACCGGGAAAAGCUCUACAUUGAAGUUUACAGUCUGCUGGAUUCAAUGGUGAGUGAAAUGGUGUCUUUAUUUGAGGAUCUGAAGCAGUAACAUGCUCUGAAGUGGGAGUGAAGCCCUUUGUAUGCAGAAAUAGACUUGCUUAAAAAAAAUAAAAUAAAUAACCAUAUUUACACAAAUGGAGUGGAGAUUCUUCUGUCUGAAGUGAU